Molecule: long non-coding RNA, 663 nt
Organism: Trichomycterus rosablanca
Lineage: Eukaryota; Metazoa; Chordata; Actinopteri; Siluriformes; Trichomycteridae
Exons: 3
Source: RefSeq, a predicted model, not a curated record
UCAACGUAGGAUGCUUUUCAUACAUUGGAGAAGCAGUUUUGCCGCUGAUUGAUUCAAUGCAGCCUGCAACAAUCUUGGUGCUACCAUUGCAAUGUUUGGAUAUGCUUAAUUUCCCUGUGCACACUGAUGAACUCUGGCAGCCCAGUUGCAAGACGCCCUUGCUGGCCGAGAAGGAUCGCAGAUCAGCACAUGCCUCCUCCAAUGUGUGAAGUUAUCAGCUGCAUCUUUACACCGACCAGUGGCUUAAUACAGAAAGUCUCAGCAUGUACAGAGGACUAAUGGUGGCACCUAAGCAAGGCAAUAUGAGAUGCUGAUGCAGCAGGGUCACGACUGUGGGUGUGGUGGCUUGCCUGGAAUUACUGGGCACAAUGUAGUAACACAUCCCAGACAGGACAUCAAUCCUUUGCAGGGACUCGGUCACCCCAUGUCCACAUGUCCAAUCAUGUCUGCAUAUAUACGCCCACCAGGCCGUUAGCACAGCUGAGGAUUUAAUCCCACUAGCACCCAAGCACCCUAGAUCUAAUAUGUUUAAUUUAAUACUGUUUAGUGACUACAGUGUGCUAUCUAUUUUUUAUGUAUGUCAAAUAAGGACAGAACAGAAGCACAAACAUUAAUGAAAGCUAAACUUACAGGCUGUGGUGGUGGGGGAGGAGGUGGCUCCUU